This is a long non-coding RNA of Syngnathoides biaculeatus (alligator pipefish), 3460 nucleotides long. RefSeq lists it as uncharacterized. The record is from RefSeq and is a predicted model, not a curated record. Lineage: Eukaryota; Metazoa; Chordata; Actinopteri; Syngnathiformes; Syngnathidae. The transcript is spliced from 6 exons.
CUCGCUCUCUCUCGGCGCAGCAUUAUCGCGAAGAAGAGGCCAUCAUUCCCUGCGUUACGCGAGAAUAAUCAAGGGGGCUACGACGUGACUAUAUUUAAUGCUGUUAUAUUUUUGUUUUGAUGCAUUGCUGAGGGAAAAUCCUGCUUUCCAGCAUUUCAAGGUCAAGUGGCUUCUCUAGUGUGGAGUUUGCUCCCAAAGACAACAUGACUAGGAAAACAUCUCCUUGGUGGCCUGGGACAAGCUCCUGGUUGACAAAAAAAAAAGCUACAGCAGCACAUUUAAUAAGAUCCAACAAAGGCUGGCAACCAGUUCAGGGUGUCCCCUGCCUCCUGCCCGUUGACAGCUGGGAAAAGCUCCAGCACUCCCCACAACCCUUGUGAGGUAUGUGCUACGCUUACAUCAUGGGUUAGUAAAGGAUGAGGCGAUGCAUGUCGGUGACGUCAUUCUAAAUCAACGUUGAGUUAAAAGAAGAAGACAUUCUCCAGUGCAAGGACUCACAGACUUCCGUGUCUUCCUUAAUCCAUAUAGUAUUUCCACAGACCAGUAUAUAACACAUCUUAUUUGACAUCAGUCACUUGGGUAACAUUCUUUGAUCCUUCUCAGUGACGAGUCUGCAGUCCACCCGAUUCCUGGGCGACUUGAGCCUUUUCAGAACCCCUCCACCCAGCCUGCGGUCCUGCGAAGGGCCCGCGGAACUGUGAUCACCACCAGGGACGUAAUUAUCAACAAAAGGCGCAUUGCUGCUGGCAUUGGCUCUGUUCAUCUCUGACUCCCCUCGGAGAGCCUUGUUUGAUGUGCUAGUCCAUCCACCUCAGUCAAUUCUACAAGAAGAUGGCACUGUACUUUACAAAUGUGGAAGCAAUGAGCAAACUCGGUUUUUUUUUCUGCACAUGCUGUAUUGUUGCUAUGACAACUCCAAAGAGUGGAGCCGGGGAGCGGGUUCUUGAAAUGUCUACACUCUUACCAGCUUUAUCACAAGAAGUACAGGACUUCUAGGAAAGUGCUCUCGAAGUAGGUGUUUUUAUUAUUGACAAUAGUCUUUGUAUAGAUGAAUGUCAAGAAAAAGCAUUAAUUUCAUUAUUUUCCUUUCAUUACUUAAAUCAUUCAUUCAACACUCUUUCAUAAUGGCAAUUCAUACCCAUUUUUUUAACAUUACAAAAUUAUCUCUACAAACAGAGGGCGUUGAUGCUAGAGAGCAACACUUCUGAAAUCAUCAGGAAGGACUUCAACAAUCCUCACACUCUGUUUCCUGUGGUUGAGAAGCUCACAACUCCCCAAUCAGAUAACUCCAGCACUCCUAACAACAGAUAAAUGCAAUUAAUUUGUUUGUUAGUUUAGUGAAAAAAUACACUCCAUCAGAUUAAAUAUCAAAACAAAUUAGGAAAAUGAUACAAUGAUAAUACACCUGAAGCCACUCAGGAAAACCUCUAUUACCAUAUCAAAAUUUGAUACAGUUGACCAGAAAAUUGGAGAGAAAACAGUUCAGCAACUGAAACCAUUAUUAAUGAGCUGUUUUGACUCAAUACCAUCUGACUUUUUGAAAGCUAUUCUCAAGUCUGUGCAAGCUGAUUUUCAGCAAGUAAGCAAUUGCUCAUUUCAGUCUGGCAACUUUCCUAAAGCUCUUCAAGUUGCUGCCAUUAAGCCUCUUCUAAAAAAUAGAAUGCUGGAUGCCGGCAUGCUAUAGACCCAUCUAAAUCUCCCUUUCAUAGACAAGAUUGUUGAUAAAGUUGUUUUUAAUCAGGUUUUUGAACUCAUCACAAUACAGUAUAGAAUCUGUACUUUUCAAAGAGCUAAAUGAUAUAAGGUUGACUAGGGAAAGGUGUCAAUUCUGGUCUUGUUGGAUCUCAGUGCGCCUUUUGACAUGGUAGAUCAUAAUAUACUGCUGAACGGGUUAGAAGUGUGGGCAGGAUUAAAUGAAACAGUACUUUAAUGGUUCAGGUACUACCUUGAGGAAAUUACAGUAGGAGUUGUUUUGUGACCAUUAGAAGUGUUUCAUCUCAGCAACUGCCAAUGGCCAAUGGGGUCCCUCAAGGGUCAGGUUUUGGACCCCUCCUGUUAAUAUGAUACCCUUGGGUCGAAUUCUUCAGAAAUAUAAUUUUGACAUUCACACAGUAGCUACCCAGAAGACACAUGGUCAUAACUAGAAGUGUCUCAAGAUUAAUAUUUUCCAAUUGAAGUGUUGUGUCACUGUCAAAAACAUACAGUAAAUAACUAAAUGAGCCAAACUUUCUUGAAUUAAACCGCAACAAAAAUAAGAUAAUUGUUUUGGGGAAUAAAGAAAAGAUAAUUGCUGUUAGUAAAUACCUGGAGUCACACUCUUUUGAAAAAAACAGACAAAGUCCAAAACCUUGGUGUACUAAAAUAUUUCAACAGUCAUAUCAAAUCAAUUACUAAAACUGUCAUCUACCAUCUGAAGAACACAUCCAGAGUAAAGGUUUGCAUGUGCCUAGACGACCAGGAGAAGCUCAUCCAUUUCUUUUUUUCUUUAAUCUCAAGUAGACUUGACUAUUGUAAUGAUCUACUAACUGGACUCCCCAAAAAGUGCAUUAAACAGCUGCACUUCAUUCAAAAGGAUGCAACUCAGGUUCUGACCAAAACAAAGAAGUUAGGGCAUAUUGGGUCCAGUUUUAAAAUAUUUACACUGGCUCUUAGUCAGCAUUAGAAUACAUUUUAAAGUUCUACUACUGGUCUAUAAAUCAUUAAAUGGUUUAGGUCCAGAAUACAUGAAAGAAAUGCUGAUGGAGUAUGAACCCAGAAGGGUUCUGGGACCAAGAGACUGAGGUCAAAUAGUGGAACUCAGAGUCCAAAGCAACAUGGUGAAGCAGCAUAGCUGCAAUGUAACUAUUACGUUGCAUAUAAAUGAACUAAGUUGGCACCAGAAGUGACAUCAGCCCAAAAGUCAGCUAUCAAUCUGUUCAUUUCCCAAGCUGCUUUUCCUCACAAGGGUCACAGGAGUGCUGGAGCUUUUCCAGUUACAGUAGCUUCAGGAGAAAGGCAGACUACGCCCUGAAAUGGUAACCAGUUGGUCGCAGGGCACAUAUCAAUGCUAUUACUGCGUGGGAACUGAACCCACGCUGCCCACACCAAAAUCAGGCGACUGCACCACUACACCAUCAGUGACUCCAUUAGCUGUAAGCUAUAAACAUCAAAAUUCUCAAAACAGAUACAUUAUUGAAAUAGUGCACCCUGUGUGUAGCGAAUCUAUAGUAUUUGAGUUCCUUUUUUUGGGUGUAAUCUGAUCAGAAUUAACUUCUCUAUGAUAUUUUAUUUAAUUGCAAUGUAUUGUAUGAAUAAUAUUACAGUGGUAUUUGUAUGACUGUGUUUCGUUCAAUGCCAUAUACUGUACUAAAAAAACAAUUUAUGAGGGACAACAAAACAAAUAAAAUAUUAAAUUGUUUUCCUGAUUAUGGCACGUUUGUGCAAUAAUCUUUUCCCGUCUGGUGCAGUAAAGUAAAGAUAA